Molecule: ribosomal RNA, 204 nt
Filed under: Clostridioides difficile
Lineage: Bacteria; Bacillati; Bacillota; Clostridia; Peptostreptococcales; Peptostreptococcaceae
Description: partial 16S ribosomal RNA
Rfam family: Bacterial small subunit ribosomal RNA
Source: RNAcentral
AGUACAGAGGGUUGCCAAGCCGUAAGGUGGAGCUAAUCCCUUAAAGCUACUCUCAGUUCGGAUUGUAGGCUGAAACGCGCCUACAUGAAGCUGGAGUUACUAGUAAUCGCAGAUCAGAAUGCUGCUGUACACACGUCCCGGCGAACCACGGGAGUUGGGCGUCACCCCACGGGAGUUGGAGACGCCAGAAUCCGAUUAUCUAAC